UGGGGAAUAUUGCACAAUGGGCGCAAGCCUGAUGCAGCCAUGCCGCGUGUAUGAAGAAGGCCUUCGGGUUGUAAAGUACUUUCAGCGAGGAGGAAGGCGUUGUGGUUAAUAACCGCAGCGAUUGACGUUACUCGCAGAAGAAGCACCGGCUAACUCCGUGCCAGCAGCCGCGGUAAUACGGAGGGUGCAAGCGUUAAUCGGAAUUACUGGGCGUAAAGCGCACGCAGGCGGUCUGUCAAGUCGGAUGUGAAAUCCCCGGGCUCAACCUGGGAACUGCAUCCGAAACUGGCAGGCCAGAGUCUUGUAGAGGGGGGUAGAAUUCCAGGUGUAGCGGUGAAAUGCGUAGAGAUCUGGAGGAAUACCGGUGGCGAAGGCGGCCCCCUGGACAAAGACUGACGCUCAGGUGCGAAAGCGUGGGGAGCAAACA
Molecule: ribosomal RNA, 427 nt
Filed under: uncultured bacterium
Lineage: Bacteria
Description: partial 16S ribosomal RNA
Rfam family: Bacterial small subunit ribosomal RNA
Source: RNAcentral